UUGUGUGGAGUUCUGGUGUCCUCAGCAUAAAAAGGACAUGGAACUGUUGCAACAAGUCCAGAGGAGGCCAUGAGGAUGAUCAGGGGGCUGCAGCACCUCCCGUAUGAAGACAGGCUGAGGAAGUUGGUGCUGUUCAGCCUGGAGAAGAGAAGGCUGCGUGGAGACCUCAUAGCAGCCUUCCAGUAUCUGAAGGGGGGCUAUAGGGAUGCUGGGGAGGGACUCUUCAUUAGGGACUGCAGUGAUAGGACAAGGGGUAACAGGUUAAAACUUAAACAGGGGAAGUUUAGAUUGGGUAUAAGGAGGAAGUUCUUUACUGUAAGGGUGGUGAGGCACUGGAAUGGGUUGCCCAGGGAAGUUGUGAAUGCUCCAUCCCUGGCAGUGUCCAAGGCCAGGUUGGACAGAGCCUUGGGUGAGAUGGUUUAGUGUGAGGUGUCCCUGCCCAUGGCAGGGGGGUUGGAACAGGAUGAUCUUAAGUUCCUUUCCAACCCAAGCUAUUCUAUGAUAAUAUGGAAAUUCAAACAGCCAAGAGUCAAACCACCUGUGAGUUAGGAACUGUCUUACAUGUUUACACCAAAUGAUUGUGGGAAUUGAUGCAAUUAAAUAUUUUUAGAGUUUUGUUUAUUCUUCAGGCAUGUGAGGAAUUCAUGGGAACAUUUGUGAAAUUGUCAUUUUAAUGUUUCCAAGAGUAGUGUAACACGCAGUAUGGGUAACGCUUACCACUUAUACAGAUCAAGAAGAGCCUGGGUUUAUUUCUUUGCUUAAACUUAGCUCAGAUGUAACUUGGAAUUUCCAGUAAGUGUUCUAGGGUACACCUCACUCCUGGUAUUGUAACAUCUUAGAUUGGUGUUCUUUGACAUUCAAAUAACUCUUAUCCUCAUUAAGAAACACUUUUUCAUGUACCAUUUUCAUUACAGUUAUGAAUUGGUUUUGAUUUCAUGAUCAAUGGUGUCAUAUUUCCCAGUAAAAACACAUCAGCAACACUCAGUUUUGGUAGCAAGACAGGUAGCUGUUGCAGUGUCCUGUCCUGCUUACUGGGAUUUUCCCUGAAGGUGUACACAGCAGAUGCCAUUUAGAAAGGAUGGAAUCUCGAGUCUGGUUUGCCCUUUUUUAACGUCAGCAUCAAGGAAUAGGGAAUGGCUCCUUUCUCCAUCAAGGGGAAGACUCCUCACACUCUUCCCCUGCUCCAGUGUGGGGUGCCUACCCCAGGAGCCAGUUCUUCACAAACUUCUCCAACAUGAGUCCAUCCUGCAGCUCUUCACAAACUGCUCCAGUGUGGGUGCCUUCCAUGGAUGCAGUCCUUCAGGAAUAGACUGCUCCAGCACGGAUCCCUUCUUGUGCACCCCCAGCCUACUCACUCAUGGGGUGAGGAGCAGAAAAGGUUUUGACUCUGUAAGCACUGCUCAGCACUUAACAAAAACAUCCCUGUGUUAUCCACUGUUCCCAGCACAAAUCUAAAACAGCCCCAUGCCAGCUGCUCUGAAGAAAAUUAACUCUAUCCCAGUCAAAACUAGCACAAUGCUAUUUCAAAAUUAAUGAUUGUGUAUUUAUUUCUAGAUGUUUAUAAGAACAGGAAUGCUUAGUCAUAUUUAAAGAAUUAACAUGGUUACAAACCAGGUUUCUCACUGGCUUUGAAAAAUACUCCAAACUGUUACUAAAUUUAAAAAGUACUAUUUUCUUAAGUGCUCCAGCCUUUUUAUCGGGCCUUUGAAGAGCAAGUUGGAUUACCCAACAGAUCUAUACAGUUCAAAGAACAAAAGCAAGUAGUUUACACUUAACAGGUAUUGCAAAAUGAUGCACUUUGGUUAGGAAAGCAUGUUGACAAAAGCUCCAUGGCUGUACUUUUUUGUAAUGUUAUACAUCAAAGCAACAGUCAUGUAAAGAUUUUGCUAAAGUUAACGGGGUUUAUCAUAUUAAUAGUUGGAAAAAUAUUACGUAUAUCCUCUGAAAUUUUCAGUGGGUCUGGUGUUCAAUAUUAGAGGACAAAAUGCGUAAAUAUAUAUUCUGAAGUAUCUUGCUAGACAGAUAAAGCAUAGAGGGCUCAAGACAGAAACAUCAUGGUUCUACUUUGCCAAGGGUGAAAUGAAGUAAGUGCAGAAGAGUGGUCUGAAGCCACAGACUGGUGGUUCUGUCUAGCCUGUACUAGUAGGAACAUAUUACACUUAUACAUCAAUUCAGAAAGUGUGUUAAAGCUGUCAGUGUCUUUUUUGGAUACAAAUUAAUUGUACACACAGAGCACUGCACUAGGCAGUCAAAGAGAUAGGUAUUAUUUUGAUCAUUAAUAUAUAAGCUUCUAUUUUUAAUACUAGAAGAUAAAAGAAACCCAGAUUAAUUUGCAUUUAACAUACAGCCAGAACUGAUUUUACUUUGGCUGUUCACAUGUCUGUGUUUCUAUCAAGUCACUAGUCAGUGUCUUCACCUGUAAUGUUGGUGUAAUUCAAACACGUCACAGAACAUAGGAGUAUGAUAUUACAGCAUGGUUUUGCAGGCCAAAGCCUGUACAAAUCAAACACCUGCAUAAUGAACUAAUCUAUGCUGCACAUGCUUAUGUGGCUGCAGAGAACAGGUUGCCAUCGUGCUUUAAAUUGUUUGCAGUUCUCUAGAACAGAUGUGCCUGUGUAAGCUCCUCUCGCCACACCUAGUGAUGAUAGGUUUGGACUUUAAUGUGAAACUUGGCUCUUUCAACUGAAACUUAAAUCAUUGUGCGUAUUACAGGACACGUGUCUCAAUUUAGUCUUCCUGUGCGAGAUACCACUUGACCAUAGAUAUACGAAUAUAUGUGAAGUCACUAAGAUUGUGCUGUCCUCUGAAACUGUGAGCUCAGGAGUUUUGUGUUCCAUGUUCUAAAGCACCAUACUUUUGAGGUAUCUGCACUGACAAAGAAGAGUGAUGUCCUUCAUCAAGAGAGAAAUCUUUAAUCUACACUUAUUAAAAAAAUGUAAUUAAAAAUUAUUGUAUUCCAUGAAAUUUAGUGUUCACAAAAAUAAGGUGAUUUUCUUAGUCAUUUUUAUUGCUGUAGUCUUUUAUACAGAAAAGCCUGUUAAAAAAAGAUUGGCUGGUCAGAACAAGACUGGAAAAAUGGUUCUGACAUGAAAUUAAAACCUAGAAGUAGCUAAUUCCUUUGCAAGGAAUAAGAGGUUUUAUGCAUUCAUAGAAAAAGUAAGGAUUCUGCAUACAUUUAAGAUUCUGUAGGGUAUUUUUCAACCUCCCAAAUCCACCCCAUCCUCUCUUUAAUUUACUUGCAGGAAUUCUACUAUCUUAAAAAUCAGAAAAAGUUCAAGCUCUCUUUCAAAAUUUCCUGUAGGAACUGUUUGGGAGAAAUAAAACAUAUGGGGUUACUAAAAAUAAAUUUGCUUGCUCACUUAAUUAUGUACAAACAUCAACAAAAAUAUGAAAUGUAUUAUAGAUGUAAUAUUAAUGAAUGAUAGUUAUGUGUUUGAUUUUUUUCAGGAAGUAGCCAUUCCAAAUAAUUUUAUACAUAAAUAGUUACAUUUUGCAGAUUGUGGUAGAAUAGCGGAGAGAUUUUAGAAUUCCAGUAAAAUAUCUUAUUGCUUAUGCUGUGAUAGCAUAUUUCAUUUUUUGAAGUUUCCCACCAUAUUUCCCAUUGUUGUGUUUCAGUUAUUUGAAAAAAAAAAAAGCACCUAUUUUUUCAUCUAAAUGACUGUUUUUUCUAAGGAAUGUGAACAUCUGUCUGUUGUUUCAGUCACAGAGAGAAAAGUAUGUUUGUGUUCCUUGGUUGUUUCUGUUUCCUCCUUGAAAACAUAGAAGGGAAGUGCUCUGAAGCAAACGUAAUGAUCUCUCACAGGAUAUAUGAUAUGACAUGAAGCCAACUUUACAGCAAGAAAAGUCUCAUUAAUACCCACGUUCAUUUUAGUAGAUGAAUUAGUGACAGUUGAGGUUGCAGAGGGGCAGCUGGCUCUCUGCUGCAGUAGAUGGCAAAUCUCACUUCCCCUUAGAAGAACAACUUUGCAGUUCUUGCCACUUAUGUCAGUAUUCAAAGGUAACUUUUUACAUGUAUUCUUUGCAUGGGGCUGAAGAGAGUGCUGAUAACCACAGAGGUGCUGAUCAGUAGCUGCCACUUCUUGGGUUUAGAAAUACAGGAGUAUUUACUCACUUUUUUUCUUUAUAAUCAAAUUCAAGUCACUGCAUUUUCAGUAAUAUAACCUAUGUUAAAUAGUAGCUACACCACCAAUAAUUUUGUUCACAAAUGAAUAUAAGACCACAUGUACUACACUGAAUGAGUAAAAUUAUGCUUCUGAGCCAGAGAACAAUCUAGCCCUGAAAAAAUCCAAAACAAAACCCAAUGUCAAAACAGAAGAGUGCUCUGCUGUCAUAAGAUUGGCUAGUUCUGACACACCGCUACUGAUUUAUACAAGCAAACCAUCUUCAGUCUUUCAUCGUUUAGACAAAGCCAGGAUUGUUACAAGACACCCUUUUUAUAGAAGAAGGAAAUAAGGCCAUAUUGGGAAUUAAGUUUGCCAAACUCAAUUUCAUACCCUAAAGAAACAUCAGUGCUUAUUCUUGUACCGCUGAGAUGUAACUGAUUUAACUGGCACAAAAGAAAAAAAAUCAAACCAGCAUUUUUUCAAGUGUUUUUCCAUUUCUGAGUAAUAACCCUGAUGGCUGCUCAUCACCAGACUAGACCAUGCUUUGCAUCUGAUCAGUAUUUUCUGUCAUACCUUUAAUCUUAACAAAAAUGUUGUUUUAAUGAAGCCAAAACACAGGAAAUUUUAAUUGAAGAUGAAUGAUGUCAUGUGCACAAAAAACAUUACAAAUUUGUUAAUUCUUGAAUAUUUAUUAGCUUGAAAUAUACUGAGUAUUUUGUAGCUAAAACUUAAUUCAAAUUAAAGUAGCUUUUAAUUUAAGUUUGGGGUUUUUUUUUACUAUUCAGUUCUUGAAUACUCACUUUUGGUUAUAUUGAGGAAAAAAGAUACUUUAAUAUGUGUAAAAAUUAGGAUUUGGAUAAACAACUUACUUGUCCAAAAACAUAAAAGGUGAUCCAUGAACAAGUAAAUCUAUCCAAGUAUUUGCAAUUGCUUGUAUUACUUGUUUGACAUUUCUAAGUGCUGAAAAUAAGAAUGCCUUCGCAAUGCCCCAGGAUCCAAGAAUGAUCUGUUCCUCACCAUGUCUAGUCUUGUCCCAAGAGAUAAGUCAAACAGGUUCUCAAACUUCAGUUUUAAAAGACAAAGACCAUUAUACACUCCAACCAGCAAAGACAGAAAAUUACCAGCUGCAGCUGUGGGUCUCAGUAACGAAUCUAAGAGAAAGGCAGUAAGAACCAAUCCAGUUCACACCAAAAUUACUGUAGUAGGAAUGGAAAUGUUAUUAAAUACUUGUACUUCGUUCUGCCUAACUAUAUUGCCAGAAGCACAAAGAACACACAUUUGCCCUUCCUGUGACUCAGUAUUCAUUAAUAUGUUUAAUAAAUAAGAAUUCCCAUACUUACAGGUAUUACUUUUAAGUUCCUGAGGGAAAAUCCCUCAAAUAUCAGUUAUGCAUCACUGGACACCUUGAACUUUUGUUACUGCAGGAACAGAGGAAAAUAUGAAAGUGCAUUGUCAUGUGCUUUCUGAAACGACCUGGCAAAUAUAAAAAUUUAUUAGACUUA
Pezoporus occidentalis (night parrot) is the source of this 5605-nucleotide long non-coding RNA. RefSeq lists it as uncharacterized. The record is from RefSeq and is a predicted model, not a curated record. NCBI's taxonomy places the organism in Eukaryota, Metazoa, Chordata, Aves, Psittaciformes, Psittacidae. The transcript is spliced from 2 exons.